AUGGAAGAAGGGCAAGACGUAAAGGAGGCCACGUCUAAGAACUCAGAGGAUUGGGGCAGCACUAAUAACAACAGCAGAUGCGACGGCGGUGACAUGAUCUCCGUCCAAUUCAUGCAGAAGGUAUAUACUCCUAUAUGUGUGCUUGCAGUAUGCAGUUCUGUACUGCGUAGAACGAAUUUUGCUGGAAGAGUCGUGCUCGUUUUACGCAGAUUUGAACAGAUCCUUGCAGAAAUUUUGGGAACCUACUUCAUGAUCUUGGCGGGGUGCGGCUCCGUGGUGGUGAACCAGAGCACGGGCGGCGCGGUGACGUUCCCGGGGAUCUGCGUCGUGUGGGGGCUCGUCGUCAUGGUCAUGGUCUACUCCGUCGGCCACGUCUCCGGCGCGCACUUCAACCCCGCCGUCACCAUCGCCUUCGCCACCUGCCGGCGCUUCCCGUGGAAGCAGGUGCCGUCCUAUGUGCUGGCUCAGGUGCUGGGAUCCACGCUGGCGAGCCUGACGCUGCGGCUGACGUUCGGCGGCGCACACGGGCACUUCCUCGGGACGACGCCGUCCGGUUCGAGCACGCAGGCGGUGGCGCUCGAGUUCAUCAUCUCCUUCUACCUCAUGUUCGUCGUCUCAGGCGUGGCCACGGACGACAGAGCGGUUGGUGAACUGGCUGGUCUCGCAGUCGGUGCCACCGUCGUGCUGAACGUGCUCUUUGCCGGGCCGAUUACGGGGGCGUCAAUGAACCCUGCGAGGAGCCUAGGGCCGGCGAUCGUCGCCUGCCAGUUCGGCAGCGUGUGGGUGUACAUCGUCGGCCCGGUGUGCGGGACGGUGGCGGGAGCCUGGACCUACAACCUCAUCCGGCUCCCUGGAAAGGCAGUUAGAAAUGAUUAG
RNAcentral lists this ribosomal RNA (876 nucleotides) under Triticum aestivum (bread wheat). Its description in RNAcentral is "partial small subunit ribosomal RNA". The record is from RNAcentral. Lineage: Eukaryota; Viridiplantae; Streptophyta; Magnoliopsida; Poales; Poaceae.